RNAcentral lists this ribosomal RNA (1016 nucleotides) under human gut metagenome. RNAcentral's name for it is "bacterial LSU rRNA". It matches the Rfam family "Bacterial large subunit ribosomal RNA", at positions 1915 to 2925 of the family's 2925-position model. The record is from RNAcentral.
AAGCCCCAGUAAACGGCGGCCGUAACUAUAACGGUCCUAAGGUAGCGAAAUUCCUUGUCGGGUAAGUUCCGACCUGCACGAAUGGCGUAAUGAUGGCCAGGCUGUCUCCACCCGAGACUCAGUGAAAUUGAACUCGCUGUGAAGAUGCAGUGUACCCGCGGCAAGACGGAAAGACCCCGUGAACCUUUACUAUAGCUUGACACUGAACAUUGAGCCUUGAUGUGUAGGAUAGGUGGGAGGCUUUGAAGUGUGGACGCCAGUCUGCAUGGAGCCGACCUUGAAAUACCACCCUUUAAUGUUUGAUGUUCUAACGUGGGCCCCUUACCGGGGUUGCGGACAGUGUCUGGUGGGUAGUUUGACUGGGGCGGUCUCCUCCUAAAGAGUAACGGAGGAGCACGAAGGUUGGCUAAUCCUGGUCGGACAUCAGGAGGUUAGUGCAAUGGCAUAAGCCAGCUUGACUGCGAGCGUGACGGCGCGAGCAGGUGCGAAAGCAGGUCAUAGUGAUCCGGUGGUUCUGAAUGGAAGGGCCAUCGCUCAACGGAUAAAAGGUACUCCGGGGAUAACAGGCUGAUACCGCCCAAGAGUUCAUAUCGACGGCGGUGUUUGGCACCUCGAUGUCGGCUCAUCACAUCCUGGGGCUGAAGUAGGUCCCAAGGGUAUGGCUGUUCGCCAUUUAAAGUGGUACGCGAGCUGGGUUUAGAACGUCGUGAGACAGUUCGGUCCCUAUCUGCCGUGGGCGCUGGAGAACUGAGGGGGGCUGCUCCUAGUACGAGAGGACCGGAGUGGACGCAUCACUGGUGUUCGGGUUGUCAUGCCAAUGGCACUGCCCGGUAGCUAAAUGCGGAAGAGAUAAGUGCUGAAAGCAUCUAAGCACGAAACUUGCCCCGAGAUGAGUUCUCCCUGACUCCUUGAGAGUCCUGAAGGAACGUUGAAGACGACGACGUUGAUAGGCCGGGUGUGUAAGCGCAGCGAUGCGUUGAGCUAACCGGUACUAAUGAACCGUGAGGCUUAACCUU